GCAAUCGUAGCGUAAUGGUAACGCAUCUGGCGAAUAAACUAGAUUUUGCGGGUUCGAUUCCUGCCGGUUGCA
Molecule: transfer RNA, 72 nt
Filed under: Schleiferilactobacillus harbinensis
Lineage: Bacteria; Bacillati; Bacillota; Bacilli; Lactobacillales; Lactobacillaceae
Description: tRNA-OTHER
Rfam family: tRNA
About the family: Transfer RNA (tRNA) molecules are approximately 80 nucleotides in length. Their secondary structure includes four short double-helical elements and three loops (D, anti-codon, and T loops). Further hydrogen bonds mediate the characteristic L-shaped molecular structure. tRNAs have two regions of fundamental functional importance: the anti-codon, which is responsible for specific mRNA codon recognition, and the 3' end, to which the tRNAs corresponding amino acid is attached (by aminoacyl-tRNA synthetases). tRNAs cope with the degeneracy of the genetic code in two manners: having more than one tRNA (with a specific anti-codon) for a particular amino acid; and 'wobble' base-pairing, i.e. permitting non-standard base-pairing at the 3rd anti-codon position.
Source: RNAcentral